AUUGCGCGUUCGUGUGUGUGCGUGUUCGCGUUGGAGGAUCUAAUGCGUUGACACAAAAGUGAUAAUAUUCUUUCUUUUGUUUUAGUUUCAGAACGAUUUAAGGAACGAUUUCAUUCACAAACCUAUAAUAUAAAGAGGAAUUGCAAAAUGUGUUGGUUCCUUGAAGUCCCAGGAUGACUUUUACGGAAAAUAAUUUCCGGGAAACCCCUAAAACAGCCCUUUUCUUUUUCCUAUAUAAAUAUGGCGCGUUCGUGUGUGUGCGUGUUCGCGUUGGAGGAUCUAAUGCGUUCACACAAAAGUGAUAAUAUCGUCAACUCGACCAAAUUGAAAAGUCAAAAAAUGUAAGAGCUAUAGAUUUGAUUAGCCUCGCAAUAUUCUUUCUUUUGUUUUAGUUUCAGAACGAGUUAAGGAAUAAUUUCAUUCACAAAUAAUAAAUAGUUAAGUAAAUUCUAAGAAUAAUCAUGCAGUGCUGAACAAAUCCAAACAUAUUUUAAGAAUACCAAAAGAUAAACAUACAUAUGUAUUUUAAGAAUAACAAAAGACAAACAUAUUUUAAGAAGAAGAAGAUAAACAUAUGUUAAGGAUAACAAAAGACAAACAUUAUUAAUUAAUCUAAAAAACCUAUGUUUUUCACAUGGUCAAUUGUAUGUUGCCUGUUCCCGUGUUGGAAAACCAUCAGAUUUGUUUGUAUAUACACCACGUAAUCAAACAAAAACAUUGUAUAUCAUAAAGCACUACAAUAAAAAUAAAACAGAUUUUUGUUAAUAAUUAUGAUUCACUUGAUUUACAAUAAAGCGAUUACUGAAAAUA
Long non-coding RNA from Anastrepha obliqua, 810 nucleotides. RefSeq lists it as uncharacterized. The transcript is spliced from 2 exons. The record is from RefSeq and is a predicted model, not a curated record. NCBI's taxonomy places the organism in Eukaryota, Metazoa, Arthropoda, Insecta, Diptera, Tephritidae.